CAGCAGGCGCGAAAACUUUACAAUGCGGGAAACCGUGAUAAGGGGACACCGAGUGCCAGCAUCAUAUGCUGGCUGUCCAGAUGUGUAAAAUACAUCUGUUAGCAAGGGCCGGGCAAGACCGGUGCCAGCCGCCGCGGUAACACCGGCGGCCCGAGUGGUGAUCGUGAUUAUUGGGUCUAAAGGGUCCGUAGCCGGUUUGGUCAGUCCUCCGGGAAAUCUGAUGGCUCAACCAUUAGGCUUUCGGGGGAUACUGCCAGGCUUGGAACCGGGAGAGGUAAGAGGUACUACAGGGGUAGGAGUGAAAUCUUGUAAUCCCUGUGAGACCACCUGUGGCGAAGGCGUCUUACCAGAACGGGUUCGACGGUGAGGGACGAAAGCUGGGGGCACGAACCGGAUUAGAUACCCGGGUAGUCCCAGCCGUAAACGAUGCUCGCUAGGUGUCAGGCAUGGCGCGACCGUGUCUGGUGCCGCAGGGAAGCCGUGAAGCGAGCCACCUGGGAAGUACGGCCGCAAGGCUGAAACUUAAAGGAAUUGGCGGGGGAGCACAACAACGGGUGGAGCCUGCGGUUUAAUUGGACUCAACGCCGGACAACUCACCGGGGACGACAGCAAUAUGUAGGCCAGGCUGAAGACCUUGCCUGAAUCGCUGAGAGGAGGUGCAUGGCCGUCGCCAGUUCGUACUGUGAAGCAUCCUGUUAAGUCAGGCAACGAGCGAGACCCGUGCCCACUGUUACCAGCAUGUCCUCCGGGAC
This 752-nucleotide ribosomal RNA is filed under the name Methanosarcina siciliae. RNAcentral describes it as "bacterial SSU rRNA". It matches the Rfam family "Archaeal small subunit ribosomal RNA", at positions 333 to 1085 of the family's 1478-position model. The record is from RNAcentral. Lineage: Archaea; Methanobacteriati; Methanobacteriota; Methanomicrobia; Methanosarcinales; Methanosarcinaceae.